Molecule: ribosomal RNA, 505 nt
Filed under: Catops picipes
Lineage: Eukaryota; Metazoa; Arthropoda; Insecta; Coleoptera; Leiodidae
Description: partial 16S ribosomal RNA
Rfam family: Bacterial large subunit ribosomal RNA (bases 382-505)
Source: RNAcentral
GUCUUAUUGAUAAUAAUUUUAAGUCUAAUCUGCCCAAUGAUAAUUUUAAUGGCUGCAGUAUUUUAACUGUACAAAGGUAGCAUAAUAAUUAGUCUCUUAAUUAGGGACUAGAAUGAAUGAUUGAACGAGAUAAUAACUGUCUCUUAUUAAAUUAUAGAAUUUUAUUUUUAAGUUAAAAAGCUUAAAUGAAUUUAAAAGACGAGAAGACCCUAUAGAGUUUUAUAUUUAAUUUAUUAUAAAAUUUAGUUUAAAAUUUUUAUUUUUUAAAAUAAAUAUUUAAUUGGGGUGAUUAAAAAAUUUAAAUAACUUUUUUUAAAAAUUAUCAUUGAUUAAUGAAUUUUUGAUCCAAUAUUUUUGAUUAUAAGAUUAAAUUACCUUAGGGAUAACAGCGUAAUUUUUUUUAAGAGUUCUUAUCGAAAAAAAAGAUUGCGACCUCGAUGUUGGAUUAAAAUUAAUUUUUGGCGUAGAAGUUAAAAAAUUAGGUCUGUUCGACCUUUAAAAUUUU